UUAGUAGUUUAUAAAAUGGGUUCAAUAGAUUUUUAUCUGUUGAUUAAAAGAGAAGCUGGGUGAAAGUCCCGCACGGUCUCGCCGCUGUAAGAGAAUAGUUUUUUCAAUAUGCCACUGGGAAACUGGGAAGGCUGAAAAAAUGUUGACGCUCGAGUCAGAACACCUGCCUGUUUUAUAUUGCCAAA
Molecule: non-coding RNA, 185 nt
Filed under: Clostridium sp.
Lineage: Bacteria; Bacillati; Bacillota; Clostridia; Eubacteriales; Clostridiaceae
Also listed under: 1 other name
Source: RNAcentral